RNAcentral lists this ribosomal RNA (442 nucleotides) under Heliophilum fasciatum. Its description in RNAcentral is "bacterial SSU rRNA". It matches the Rfam family "Bacterial small subunit ribosomal RNA", at positions 1 to 449 of the family's 1533-position model. The record is from RNAcentral. Lineage: Bacteria; Bacillati; Bacillota; Clostridia; Eubacteriales; Heliobacteriaceae.
AUUUUAUGGAGAGUUUGAUCCUGGCUCAGGACGAACGCUGGCGGCAUGCCUAACACAUGCAAGUCGAACGGAGCACGGAAGUUUCGAUGGAAGUGCUUAGUGGCGGACGGGUGAGUAACGCGUGGAUCAUCUACCUCGGUGUGGGGAAUAACAGCCCGAAAGGGCUGCUAAUACCGCAUAACAUCCUUACGGAUCAAAGGCUUUGAGCCGCAUCGAGAUGAGUCUGCGUCCGAUUAGCUCGUUGGUGGGGUAAGAGCCUACCAAGGCGACGAUCGGUAGCCGGCCUGAGAGGGCGAACGGCCACACUGGGACUGAGACACGGCCCAGACUCCUACGGGAGGCAGCAGUGGGGAAUCUUCCGCAAUGGGCGAAAGCCUGACGGAGCAAUGCCGCGUGGGGGAAGAAGGUCUUCGGAUUGUAAACCCUUGUCUCCAGGGAAGAA